CAAUAGCGUAUAUUAAAGUUGUUGCAGUUAAAAAGCUCGUAGUUGGAUUUCUGGUUGAAGCGACCGGUCGGGCGUUGAUUCGUCUGCACUGGAGUCGGUUUUGGCCAUCCUCUAGGAAAGUGCGUCUGGUAUUAAGUUAUCGGGCGUAUGAUCCUGGUCUUUUACUGUGAAAAAAUUAGAGUGUUUAAAGCAGGCCUUCGCCUUGAAUACAUUAGCAUGGAAUAAUAAGAUAGGACUUUGGUCUAUUUUGUUGGUUUGCAGACCGAAGUAAUGAUUAAUAGGGAUAGUUGGGGGUAUUUAUAUUCCGAUGUCAUAGGUGAAAUUCUUAGAUUUUCGGAAGAUAAACUUAUGCGAAAGCAUUUACCAAGGAUGUUUUCAUUAA
Molecule: ribosomal RNA, 382 nt
Filed under: uncultured eukaryote
Lineage: Eukaryota
Description: partial 18S ribosomal RNA
Rfam family: Eukaryotic small subunit ribosomal RNA
Source: RNAcentral